UACGGAGGGAGCUAGCGUUGUUCGGAAUUACUGGGCGUAAAGCGCACGUAGGCGGCUACACAAGUCAGAGGUGAAAGCCCGGGGCUCAACCCCGGAACUGCCUUUGAAACUAGGUGGCUAGAAUCUUGGAGAGGUCAGUGGAAUUCCGAGUGUAGAGGUGAAAUUCGUAGAUAUUCGGAAGAACACCAGUGGCGAAGGCGACUGACUGGACAAGUAUUGACGCUGAGGUGCGAAAGCGUGGGGAGCAAACAGG
Molecule: ribosomal RNA, 253 nt
Filed under: uncultured bacterium
Lineage: Bacteria
Also listed under: 1 other name
Description: partial 16S ribosomal RNA
Rfam family: Bacterial small subunit ribosomal RNA
Source: RNAcentral